CCCUAUAAAUUGGAGAAAAAAAAUAACUGCGAUUUUUUACCUGGGUGGACGUUUCCAUAUUAUUUUCUG
This 69-nucleotide transfer RNA is filed under the name Tiarina fusus. Its description in RNAcentral is "Tiarina fusa tRNA". The record is from RNAcentral. Lineage: Eukaryota; Ciliophora; Prostomatea; Prorodontida; Colepidae.